GCCCUGGUGGUGCAACGGUUAAGCACUUGGCUGCUAACUAAAAGGUCGGUAGUUUGAACCCAUCCAGGGGCU
This 72-nucleotide transfer RNA is filed under the name Loxodonta africana (African savanna elephant). It matches the Rfam family "tRNA". Rfam says of the family: Transfer RNA (tRNA) molecules are approximately 80 nucleotides in length. Their secondary structure includes four short double-helical elements and three loops (D, anti-codon, and T loops). The record is from Rfam by way of RNAcentral. Lineage: Eukaryota; Metazoa; Chordata; Mammalia; Proboscidea; Elephantidae.